ACGGGAGGCAGCAGUGAGGAAUAUUGGUCAAUGGGCGAGAGCCUGAACCAGCCAUGUCGCGUGGAGGAAUAAGGAUCUAUGGUUCGUAAACUCCUUUUGCGGGGGGAUAAAGUGCGGGACGCGUCCCGUUUUGUAGGUACCCCGCGAAUAAGCAUCGGCUAACUCCGUGCCAGCAGCCGCGGUAAUACGGAGGAUGCGAGCGUUAUCCGGAUUUAUUGGGUUUAAAGGGUGCGUAGGCUGUGCGACAAGUCAGGGGUGAAAGCCCGCCGCCCAACGGUGGAACUGCCUUUGAUACUGUCGCGCUGGAAUACGGAUGCCGUGGGAGGAAUGAGUAGUGUAGCGGUGAAAUGCAUAGAUAUUACUCAGAACACCGAUUGCGAAGGCAUCUCACGAAUCCGUCAUUGACGCUGAGGCACGAAAGCGUGGGGAUCAAACAGGAUUAGAUACCCUGGUA
RNAcentral lists this ribosomal RNA (454 nucleotides) under uncultured bacterium. Its description in RNAcentral is "partial 16S ribosomal RNA". It matches the Rfam family "Bacterial small subunit ribosomal RNA", at positions 341 to 792 of the family's 1533-position model. The record is from RNAcentral.